Molecule: unclassified non-coding RNA, 517 nt
Filed under: Hevea brasiliensis (rubber tree)
Lineage: Eukaryota; Viridiplantae; Streptophyta; Magnoliopsida; Malpighiales; Euphorbiaceae
Source: RNAcentral
CGCAAUGUUUGGGUUCUCAUUCCAUGGUGCCCCAAGACCACCUUUUGAUGAUCUAAUCCAAAAAUUGGUUUACUUGCAUGAGUGCAAUCAAACUCGCCAAAAGUCCUCAGUUAUUGUCUCUGUAGAUAUUCCAUCUGGAUGGAAUGUUGAAGAAGGCGAUGUUGCUGUCAAUGGUGAAGGAAUUAAACCUGACAUGUUGGUUUCUUUGACUGCUCCAAAGUUGUGUGCAAAGAAAUUUUCUGGUCCACACCACUUUCUAGGCGGUAGGUUUGUCCCACCAUCAAUAGUGGAGAAAUAUAAGCUGCAUCUCCCACCAUAUCCUGGCACUUCUAUGUGUGUCCGAAUUGGAAAGCCUCCACAAAUUGAUAUAUCAGCUUUAAGGGAGAACUAUAUUUCUCCUGAAUUCCUUGAGGAGCAGGUGGAGGCUAAUCCCAUGGAUCAGUUCCUCAAAUGGUUUGACGAUGCUGUGGUUGCUGGAUUGAAGGAGCCAAAUGCUAUGUGCUUGUCAACUGUUGGA